Molecule: ribosomal RNA, 465 nt
Filed under: uncultured bacterium
Lineage: Bacteria
Description: partial 16S ribosomal RNA
Rfam family: Bacterial small subunit ribosomal RNA
Source: RNAcentral
CCUACGGGAGGCAGCAGUGGGGAAUAUUGCGCAAUGGGCGAAAGCCUGACGCAGCGACGCCGCGUGAGGGAUGAAGGUCUUCGGAUCGUAAACCUCUGUCAGCAGGGAAGAACGGUCACUGUGCUAAUCAGCAGUGAAUUGACGGUACCUGCAAAGGAAGCACCGGCUAACUCCGUGCCAGCAGCCGCGGUAAUACGGAGGGUGCGAGCGUUAAUCGGAAUUACUGGGCGUAAAGCGCUCGUAGGCGGUAUGUCAAGUCAAGGGUGAAAUCCCCGGGCUCAACGUGGGAACUGCCUUUGAAACUGGCAAACUGGAGUGUGUGAGAGGAUAGUGGAAUGCCAGGUGUAGGAGUGAAAUGCGUAGAUAUCUGGAGGAACAUCAGUGGCGAAGGCGACUAUCUGGCACAUAACUGACGCUGAGGAGCGAAAGCGUGGGUAGCAAACAGGAUUAGAUACCCCAGUAGUC